UGGGGAAUUUUGCGCAAUGGGCGAAAGCCUGACGCAGCGACGCCGCGUGUGGGAUGAAGGUUUUCGGAUCGUAAACCUCUGUCAGAAGGGAAGAAACCGCACUGUGCUAAUCAGCAGUGCCUUGACGGUACCUUCAAAGGAAGCACCGGCUAACUCCGUGCCAGCAGCCGCGGUAAUAUGGAGGGUGCAAGCGUUAAUCGGAAUUACUCGGCGUAAAGCGCACGUAGGCUGCUUUGUAAGUCAGGGGUGAAAUCCCACGGCUCAACCGUGGAACUGCCUUUGAUUCUGCUUAGCGUGAAGCCGAGAGAGGGUGGCGGAAUUCCAGGUGUAGGAGUGAAAUCCGUAGAUAUCUGGAGGAACAACAGUGGCGAAGGCGGCCACCUGGGCCGGUAUUGACGCUGAGGUGCGAAAGCGUGGGGAGCAAACAGG
This 429-nucleotide ribosomal RNA is filed under the name Fusobacteriota bacterium. RNAcentral describes it as "Fusobacteria bacterium partial 16S ribosomal RNA". It matches the Rfam family "Bacterial small subunit ribosomal RNA", at positions 355 to 776 of the family's 1533-position model. The record is from RNAcentral. Lineage: Bacteria; Fusobacteriati; Fusobacteriota.